AAAAAGAAUGUUUUAAAAUUCUAAACUGACAUGCACAUAUCCGUUAAUUCUGUGUUAUGAUUGAGCCUCAUGGCUCUGUUACUGACAGACGUGGGCGUAAGACUCCUCGAGAGUCAGAUACUCUCGAGGAGCGAGAAAGAAAAAGACUGCGAGACAUUUUUGCAGCACCAUCUGACGAAGAGUCUUUUGAGGGGUUUACGGAGAGAAUGGAGGAGGGGCUGGUUAGCUCGGAGGAGGAUGAGAUGGAUUGGACUCGGGUAAGGGAGGAAUUGGGUGCCACUGGUCAUGAUGGGAUAGAAGAUGAAUGGGGACUUUCAGGAUUAGACCCAUGGCUUAGCUGGAGGGAUGGGACGGGAUCCACAGCUGGAGAUGCUGUGGGGCGUAGUCAGAGGUGUUCCAGCUCUGAUGAGGAAAGUGAUGAGGAAACGCCCGGGUUAAGGAGGACAGCUGACAGUGAUGAGGAUUUGUAACUGGCAUAAAAUGGGGCUUGGGAGCAAUUGCAAAUUGCGUUGGGCAAGGUAAUCUGGACAAACGCUUGGGAUCUGUGUGGGACGCUUUCCUGAAGACUGGUGUGUUUUCCUGUGCUGAGACCUUGACCUUCCGUUGUCUUCUUGACGGACGCCAUCUCCUGCUUUGAAAACUCGGAUUGAACUGACCACGGCUUGCCUUCCCCCUUCUGGACUUGGAAACUACAAACGUCUACUUCUGGCUUUGAACCACGGAAAGGAACUGGGUCUACUCUUCUGCUACAAUCCUUGGCUGAUCUGUUCGUGUUGGAAAUCCUGUCUGCUGUGUGUGUGGGAGCGACGCAAGUUCCUCUAAGCACAGUGUUGGCAGCAGAGAGGAAUCUGCUGCCAAUUAGUUGCAUUCUUUUGUAUCUUGUGUUCCUCGGCUUUUGUUUUGUUUACCCUCAGGCUGAAGCAAGCAGUUUGUUUUUACCCGGAUUAAACUUCGGUUUAAUCCGGUUUAUCUUUUGUACAUUUUUUCCUUGUCCCUUUUUUUUGCUCCUAAAGGCUAAAAUUGCCUGGCCCUUGUGUUUUACGGGCAUUUUUGAGUUCUGUAAUUAAAUAAACUCUGUUAUCUUGAA
Molecule: long non-coding RNA, 1087 nt
Organism: Anolis carolinensis (green anole)
Lineage: Eukaryota; Metazoa; Chordata; Lepidosauria; Squamata; Anolidae
Exons: 2
Source: RefSeq, a predicted model, not a curated record